This 441-nucleotide ribosomal RNA is filed under the name uncultured bacterium. Its description in RNAcentral is "partial 16S ribosomal RNA". It matches the Rfam family "Bacterial small subunit ribosomal RNA", at positions 338 to 795 of the family's 1533-position model. The record is from RNAcentral.
CCUACGGGUGGCAGCAGUGGGGAAUAUUGCACAAUGGGGGAAACCCUGAUGCAGCAACGCCGCGUGAAGGAAGACGGUUUUCGGAUUGUAAACUUCUGUUCUUAGUGAAGAAGAAUGACGGUAGCUAAGGAGCAAGCCACGGCUAACUACGUGCCAGCAGCGGCGGCAAUACGUAGGGGGCAAGCGUUGUCCGGAAUUACUGGGUGUAAAGGGAGCGUAGGCGGGAAGCCAGGUCAGCUGUGAAAACUACGGGCUUAACUUGUAGACUGCAGUUGAAACUGGUUUUCUUGAGUGAAGUAGGGGUUGGCGGAAUUCCGGGUGUAGCGGUGAAAUGCGUAGAUAUUCGGAAGAACACCGGUGGCGAAGGCGAGCAACUGGGCUUUAACUGACGCUGAGGCUCGAAAGUGUGGGGAGCAAACAGGAUUAGAUACCCUGGUAGUC